GGGCUGCAUGAGGUGUGAGAGGAUGGGGGGCAAUGCUGGCACUGAAAACCUCUUCCUGUGACUCUGAAUGGGGAGCCCCUGACGCAUGUAUUGCAUAAGUGUCCUCCCUGAAAGUGGAAAUAUGGCAACUACAUCUGUAAGAGAUUUCUACUGGAGGACUUUGUGAAAAUCUACCAGGACUAUGGGCCAGACUUGCACUGUUCACUGAUGACAAACUAAAGAAGUUACAACCACCUCUGAAGAAUGAGGAUAUUACGUUCAUAAGUUAACAGGAGUGCAAUGCAAAUCCAUGUGGCUAUUCCUUUAAUAAAAUCCUUCUCAACUAUUUUAGAGAACAAAAAGAAAAAGAAAAUCCUUUCCCCAUAUUUGUUUAUGUUGUCACCAGUUUGUAACAGUGAUGGGAACUAGACCUUUGCCUAGAAUGAAACCGGUAGGUAGGUGUGUGUGACCUUUUUUCUGUUUAGUUUUUUUCCAUUUGCGCCUACACUGGAGCCAGGAAGAUCUCUACAGUGCACCUAUUCCCACCUACAAUGUUUAGCCAGGUUUGAAGGACAUUAGAGAAUUUGAGUUACCCUCUACCUUAUUUGGUGAUAGGAUUGUGAUAACUGAAUACGUUUAUUUCACUUUUCUAGGUGUUUUCUACAUUUUAAAGGUGGCGCAUAGUUAAUAAUUAUUCUGUGCUGAGAGCAGGUUUACAAUCAUUUAAUCUUUCUUGUACUCAGUAAUCAUGAAAUUAAAGCACCAAGCAGAUUA
This is a long non-coding RNA of Bombina bombina (fire-bellied toad), 753 nucleotides long. RefSeq lists it as uncharacterized. NCBI's taxonomy places the organism in Eukaryota, Metazoa, Chordata, Amphibia, Anura, Bombinatoridae. The transcript is spliced from 2 exons. The record is from RefSeq and is a predicted model, not a curated record.